CCUACGGGAGGCAGCAGCGAGGAAUUUUCCGCAAUGGGCGAAAGCCUGACGGAGCAACGCCGCGUGGGGGAAGAAGGCCUUCGGGUUGUAAACCCCUGUUGCGAGGGAAGAAGAUCUGACGGUACCUCGCGAGGAAGCCACGGCUAACUACGUGCCAGCAGCCGCGGUAA
This 170-nucleotide ribosomal RNA is filed under the name uncultured bacterium. RNAcentral describes it as "partial 16S ribosomal RNA". It matches the Rfam family "Bacterial small subunit ribosomal RNA", at positions 338 to 523 of the family's 1533-position model. The record is from RNAcentral.